GACGGACGGAGCCCCCCGGCCCCUGCCCGGCACCACCCUGACGUACUUCCCCAACGCCAGGUGGGUACCGGACGGGGACCAGGGGGCUCCACCACAACCGC
This is a non-coding RNA of Dietzia cinnamea P4, 101 nucleotides long. The record is from Rfam. Lineage: Bacteria; Bacillati; Actinomycetota; Actinomycetes; Mycobacteriales; Dietziaceae.